This 280-nucleotide non-coding RNA is filed under the name Glossina morsitans morsitans. Its description in RNAcentral is "eukaryotic small subunit ribosomal RNA". It matches the Rfam family "Eukaryotic small subunit ribosomal RNA", at positions 1210 to 1445 of the family's 1831-position model. Lineage: Eukaryota; Metazoa; Arthropoda; Insecta; Diptera; Glossinidae. The record is from RNAcentral.
AAAACUUACCAAGUCCGAACAUAAGUGCGUAAGAGAGAUUAAUAACUCUUUCUCAAGUCUACGGAUGGUGGUGCGUGGCCGUUCUUAGCUCGUGGAGUGAUUUAUCUGAUUAGUUCCCAUAACGAACAAGACUCAAAUAUAUUAAAGACAUGCUCUCAGGAUUAUGCUGUUGCAGCUGCUCUCAAUAUUAGGCUGCUGUUACGUUCAUUUACGAGUCCAGCAAAAAUGUGUAGGUGUUUGUAAACGUGGAACCAUAGCCAUUGAUUUUGUCUAAUAUCGG